GGCAAAACUCCGUUAAUAAACACGACCAUUUCGGUGAAUCAAUAGAAGCAUAAAGCGUGGGAAGGAAAGGAUGAUCUAACAUUUCAAGUAUUUCCCGUUCAGUCCUCGCUCUUCCUUCCUUAUUACGGCUCGCAAGUUCCUUCUUAUCCAUAACUUUCGCUGCAAAGUACGCCGAUACCGCCGUCGAUUUCGAAAUCUCCGUUACCGGAGCAGCUUUGAUUUCCGCGAGAAAAACGGAACCUAUAUCGCCGGAUCCUAAUCGAUGGAGAAAUCGGAGAUCAGUUAGAGAAAUUGCCGACGAAGUAGAAGUUGAAAUACCCCGUGUAAUGGCGUCCCAGUAAGGAUCACCGGAAGGAGUAGCGGCGCGUGGCUUAGUGAUAUGGUGGUGAAGAGAGCUGGAUGAGAUAGAAGAAGCCGUAGCCGUCCAUGUGGCUUCGGAGCCGGAGCUAGUCGACCGGUUAAUAUCAGUUGCGGUAGUGGUAGUAGAGUUGAAGCUGAUGCUUUGAAGAUCGUCGACUAAGUCGUCG
RNAcentral lists this unclassified non-coding RNA (527 nucleotides) under Hevea brasiliensis (rubber tree). Lineage: Eukaryota; Viridiplantae; Streptophyta; Magnoliopsida; Malpighiales; Euphorbiaceae. The record is from RNAcentral.